RNAcentral lists this transfer RNA (73 nucleotides) under Caerostris darwini. RNAcentral describes it as "tRNA-Val". It matches the Rfam family "tRNA". Rfam says of the family: Transfer RNA (tRNA) molecules are approximately 80 nucleotides in length. The record is from RNAcentral. Lineage: Eukaryota; Metazoa; Arthropoda; Arachnida; Araneae; Araneidae.
GUUUUCGUAGUGUAGUGGUUAUCAUGUGCGCUUCACACGCGCAAGAUCCCCAGUUCGAUCCCGCACGGAAACA